AGAACGAACGCUGGCGGCAGGCCUAACACAUGCAAGUCGAGCGCCCAGCAAUGGGAGCGGCGGACGGGUGAGUAACACGUGGGAAUAUGCCUUUCGGUUCGGAACAACUCGGGGAAACCCGUGCUAAUUCCGGAUACGCCCUUACGGGGAAAGAUUUAUCGCCGAAAGAUUAGCCCGCGUCCGAUUAGCUAGUUGGUGAGGUAACGGCUCACCAAGGCACCGAUCGGUAGCUGGUUUGAGAGAACGACCAGCCACACUGGGACUGAGACACGGCCCAGACUCCUACGGGAGGCAGCAGUGGGGAAUCUUGGACAAUGGGGGAAACCCUGAUCCAGCCAUGCCGCGUGAGUGAUGAAGGCCUUCGGGUUGUAAAACUCUUUCGGCGGGGUACGAUAAUGACGGUACCCGCAGAAGAAGCUCCGGCUAACUUCGUGCCAGCAGCCGC
RNAcentral lists this ribosomal RNA (445 nucleotides) under uncultured bacterium. RNAcentral describes it as "SSU rRNA". It matches the Rfam family "Bacterial small subunit ribosomal RNA", at positions 26 to 518 of the family's 1533-position model. The record is from RNAcentral.